RNAcentral lists this ribosomal RNA (377 nucleotides) under uncultured Bacteroidota bacterium. RNAcentral's name for it is "bacterial SSU rRNA". It matches the Rfam family "Bacterial small subunit ribosomal RNA", at positions 60 to 439 of the family's 1533-position model. The record is from RNAcentral. Lineage: Bacteria; Pseudomonadati; Bacteroidota.
AGUCGAGGGGUAUAGUUCUUCGGAAUUAGAGACCGGCGCACGGGUGCGUAACGCGUAUGCAAUCUACCUUUCACAGAGGGAUAGCCCAGAGAAAUUUGGAUUAAUACCUCAUAGUAUGCAGAGUUGGCAUCAACACUGCAUUAAAGUCACAACGGUGAAAGAUGAGCAUGCGUCCCAUUAGCUAGUUGGUAAGGUAACGGCUUACCAAGGCUACGAUGGGUAGGGGUCCUGAGAGGGAGAUCCCCCACACUGGUACUGAGACACGGACCAGACUCCUACGGGAGGCAGCAGUGAGGAAUAUUGGUCAAUGGGCGCAAGCCUGAACCAGCCAUGCCGCGUGCAGGAUGACGGUCCUAUGGAUUGUAAACUGCUUUUGU